UGAAGAUGUGUGACGAUAGCGGU
RNAcentral lists this non-coding RNA (23 nucleotides) under Arabidopsis thaliana (thale cress). Lineage: Eukaryota; Viridiplantae; Streptophyta; Magnoliopsida; Brassicales; Brassicaceae. The record is from RNAcentral.